GGUGGAUGCCUUGGCACUAGAAGCCGAUGAAGGACGUUACUAACGACGAUAUGCUUUGGGGAGCUGUAAGUAAGCUUUGAUCCAGAGAUUUCCGAAUGGGGAAACCCAGCAUGAGUUAUGUCAUGUUAUCGAUAUGUGAAUACAUAGCAUAUCAGAAGCACACCCGGAGAACUGAAACAUCUUAGUACCCGGAGGAAGAGAAAGAAAAUUCGAUUCCCUUAGUAGCGGCGA
Molecule: ribosomal RNA, 231 nt
Filed under: Bacillus subtilis subsp. subtilis
Lineage: Bacteria; Bacillati; Bacillota; Bacilli; Caryophanales; Bacillaceae
Description: partial 23S ribosomal RNA
Rfam family: Bacterial large subunit ribosomal RNA
Source: RNAcentral